UGACCUCGGAUCAGGUAGGAAUACCCGCUGAACUUAAGCAUAUCAAUAAGGCGGGAGGA
Molecule: ribosomal RNA, 59 nt
Filed under: Colletotrichum gloeosporioides
Lineage: Eukaryota; Fungi; Ascomycota; Sordariomycetes; Glomerellales; Glomerellaceae
Description: partial 28S ribosomal RNA
Source: RNAcentral